RNAcentral lists this ribosomal RNA (553 nucleotides) under Candida tropicalis. Its description in RNAcentral is "partial large subunit ribosomal RNA". It matches the Rfam family "Eukaryotic large subunit ribosomal RNA", at positions 79 to 648 of the family's 3401-position model. Lineage: Eukaryota; Fungi; Ascomycota; Pichiomycetes; Serinales; Debaryomycetaceae. The record is from RNAcentral.
CUUAGUAGCGGCGAGUGAAGCGGCAAAAGCUCAAAUUUGAAAUCUGGCUCUUUCAGAGUCCGAGUUGUAAUUUGAAGAAGGUAUCUUUGGGUCUGGCUCUUGUCUAUGUUUCUUGGAACAGAACGUCACAGAGGGUGAGAAUCCCGUGCGAUGAGAUGAUCCAGGCCUAUGUAAAGUUCCUUCGAAGAGUCGAGUUGUUUGGGAAUGCAGCUCUAAGUGGGUGGUAAAUUCCAUCUAAAGCUAAAUAUUGGCGAGAGACCGAUAGCGAACAAGUACAGUGAUGGAAAGAUGAAAAGAACUUUGAAAAGAGAGUGAAAAAGUACGUGAAAUUGUUGAAAGGGAAGGGCUUGAGAUCAGACUUGGUAUUUUGUAUGUUACUUCUUCGGGGGUGGCCUCUACAGUUUAUCGGGCCAGCAUCAGUUUGGGCGGUAGGAGAAUUGCGUUGGAAUGUGGCACGGCUUCGGUUGUGUGUUAUAGCCUUCGUCGAUACUGCCAGCCUAGACUGAGGACUGCGGUUUAUACCUAGGAUGUUGGCAUAAUGAUCUUAAGUCGC